UGAGUUUGAUCAUGGCUCAGGACGAACGCUGGCGGCGUGCCUAAUACAUGCAAGUCGAGCGCGGGAAGCAGACGGAAUCCUUCGGGAGGAAGACUGUGGAACGAGCGGCGGAUGGGUGAGUAACACGUGGGCAACCUGCCUAUAAGCUUGGGAUAACUUACGGAAACGUGAGCUAAUACCAAAUGAAGUCUUUUAUCGCCUGAUAAAAGAAUAAAAGGCGGCACUUUGUGCUGUCACUUAUAGAUGGGCCUGCGGUGCAUUAGCUAGUUGGUGGGGUAAUGGCCUACCAAAGCAACGAUGCAUAGCCGACCUGAGAGGGUGAUCGGCCACACUGGGACUGAGACACGGCCCAGACUCCUACGGGAGGCAGCAGUAGGGAAUCUUCCGCAAUGGACGAAAGUCUGACGGAGCAACGCCGCGUGAGUGAUGAAGGUCUUCGGAUCGUAAAACUCUGUUGUUAGGGAAGAACAAGUAUCGGUCGAAUAAACCGGCACCUUGACGGUACCUAACCAGAAAGCCCCGGCUAACUACGUGCCAGCAGCCGCGGUAAUACGUAGGGGGCAAGCGUUGUCCGGAAUUAUUGGGCGUAAAGCGCGCGCAGGCGGUCUUUUAAGUCUGAUGUGAAAGCUGGUGGCUCAACCAUUCAGUCUAUUAUUCAAACUGGUAAACUCGAGAGUAGCAGAGGUAACUGGAAUUUCUCGUGUAGGAGUGAAAUCCGUAGAUAUGAGAAGGAACACCAAUGGCGUAGGCAGGUUACUGGGCUAUUUCUGACACUAAGGCACGAAAGCGUGGGGAGCGAACCGGAUUAGAUACCCGGGUAGUCCACGCCGUAAACGAUGGAUACUAACUGUGGGGGGGUAUCGACCCCCUCCGUAACGAAACUAACCCCUUUAAGUAUCCCGCCUGUGGAGUACGGCCGCAAGGUUAAAACAUAAAGGAAUUGACGGGGACCCGCACAAGCGGUGGAUCAUGUUCUUUAAUUCGAUGAUAAACGAUGAACCUUACCACGGCUUGACAUCCCGAGAAUUUCUCCGAAAGGAGAGAGUGCUUUUAGAACUCGGUGACAGAUGUUGCAUGGCCGUCGUCAGCUCGUGUCGUGAGAUGUUUGGUUAAGUCCAUCAACGAGCGCAACCCUUGUCUUCAGUUGUAUUUUUCUGAAGAUACUGCCCCGGCAACGGGGAGGAAGGAGGGGAUGAUGUCAGGUCAGUAUUACUCUUACGUCCUGGGCCAGAAACGUGAUACAAUGGCGAGCACAAUGCGCAGCGAAGCCGCGAGGUGAAGCAAAUCGCAUCAAAACUCGUCCCAGUUCGGAUUGGAGGCUGAAACUCGCCUCCAUGAAGUCGGAAUCGCUAGUAAUCACAGAUCAGAAAGUUGCGGUGAAUACGUUCCCGGGUCUUGUACACACCGCCCGUCAAACCAUGAAAGUGACCAACACCCGAAGUCCGUUUUUUGCGGCCUAAGGUGGGGGGCAUGAUUGGGGUUAAGUCGUAACAAGGUAGCA
RNAcentral lists this ribosomal RNA (1501 nucleotides) under uncultured bacterium. RNAcentral's name for it is "partial 16S ribosomal RNA". It matches the Rfam family "Bacterial small subunit ribosomal RNA". The record is from RNAcentral.